RNAcentral lists this ribosomal RNA (230 nucleotides) under Bacillus licheniformis. RNAcentral describes it as "partial 23S ribosomal RNA". It matches the Rfam family "Bacterial large subunit ribosomal RNA", at positions 1614 to 1846 of the family's 2925-position model. The record is from RNAcentral. Lineage: Bacteria; Bacillati; Bacillota; Bacilli; Caryophanales; Bacillaceae.
AAAGCCUCUAGCGAGGUGAGAGGUGCCCGUACCGCAAACCGACACAGGUAGGCGAGGAGAGAAUCCUAAGGUGAUCGAGAGAACUCUCGUUAAGGAACUCGGCAAAUGACCCCGUAACUUCGGGAGAAGGGGUGCUCUGUUAGGGUGCAAGCCCGAGAGAGCCGCAGUGAAUAGGCCCAGGCGACUGUUUAGCAAAACACAGGUCUCUGCGAAGCCGCAAGGCGAAGUAU